GCUCUCGUAGUUCAAUGGAUAGAACAGGAGACUUCUAAUCUCCUGAUGUAGGUUCGAUUCCUACCGAGAGCACAA
This 75-nucleotide transfer RNA is filed under the name Patescibacteria group bacterium. RNAcentral describes it as "tRNA-Arg". It matches the Rfam family "tRNA". From Rfam's summary of the family: Transfer RNA (tRNA) molecules are approximately 80 nucleotides in length. Their secondary structure includes four short double-helical elements and three loops (D, anti-codon, and T loops). Further hydrogen bonds mediate the characteristic L-shaped molecular structure. tRNAs have two regions of fundamental functional importance: the anti-codon, which is responsible for specific mRNA codon recognition, and the 3' end, to which the tRNAs corresponding amino acid is attached (by aminoacyl-tRNA synthetases). tRNAs cope with the degeneracy of the genetic code in two manners: having more than one tRNA (with a specific anti-codon) for a particular amino acid; and 'wobble' base-pairing, i.e. permitting non-standard base-pairing at the 3rd anti-codon position. The record is from RNAcentral.